GCUGUGCAUGCACAGUGCCUGGUGCUGUGGGCUGNGGGAUCUGCGGUGCCCCCGGGAUUGGUGCCCCGGGAUUGGUGCCCACAGGAUCUGCGGUGCCCCCGAGAUCUGCGCUUCCCAUCCCGGUCUCGCCUUUCAGCUCCGCACAGAAAGCGAAACGAGAGCCGGGCUGGCUCAGCCCAGAGGUUUCCCCGGGGUUUUUCCCCUCGCACCUUCCUGCCCUGCAGCGGGGAGGGCUCGGGUGGUUUUGUCCUUGUCCCCGAGGUUUCUGGAGGGAGCGGCUCCGCAGCGCCGGGGGCACAGCGGGGGCUGGGGGGGAUUCUGCCAACUUGGGAGGAGAAAGGAGUUUGGUGCUGCCCGGCUGCUGCAGCCUGGAGCCAGGCUGGAGUCCAGCCCAGAGCCCAGCUUAGAGCCCAGCCUGAAACCCAGCCUAGAGCCCAGUCUAAAGCCCAGCCCAGCAGCAGGGCUCAGAGGUGUUGGGCACAAAAAGCAUUUUCGGGGCUGUUUCCUCAGGAACCCAAUUUUGGGAGAGGAGCCAGGGGUCCAGGAUAGGGUUGGUGUGUUCCGUUUGUCCUGCAGAGUCCCUGCUCCUUGUCCCAAGGAGGCUGCAGCAGUGCAGAGGGAAACUGAGGCACGGAGCCGGGCAGGGAUCGGGCUCUCCCAGCUCCUUCCCGUUCGUGUCGCUGGGCUGAGCUCGGGGCAAAGCUGCCCGGUCCCGGGUAGGGCUGGGGCCGAGCCCAAGGUUUGGGAUUUUGGGAUUUUGGGAUUUUGGGAUUUUGGGAUUUCGGGAUUUUGGGAUUUUGGGAUUGUUCUCCCCGUCCUCCCCCAGCUCUCUCUGCUGGGAGGCAGGAGGGGGCAGGGGGGUGAGAUAUUUCAGGAUUUUCACGGCUUUUUCCAACCCAUCAGCCCCUCUGUGAACCCCAGACCCGCCGGGGGGUCCCGGGGAGGGGGAAUUUUCCCGCAGCCCUUUUCCCCUCCCGCAGCCGGAACAUUUCACCCCCAGGGUGAAGGGGCUGCCCUUGAGCAUCCCUGCCAGGGAUCUCUGCCCCUGUCACUUCCCACCUCAGAACCUGUUGCUCUUCCUCCUGGCUGCACUUGGGGUGGGAGAAUCCCCCCUGUGCCCAUCCUGGAGCCUUUUGCACGGCAGGGAGAGGCUGAGCAGGAUAUUUCAGAGCUGCUUUUCAGGGAAUGGUUCAAACUGGGGAAACUGGGAGCUGGGGUGAGGUUGUGCUGGGAGGGGGGAGAUGCGAGUUUGGGAGGUGCUGAAAUCAGGGACCCGCACACUACUGCCCCACCCCGUGCCUCAGUUUCCCCAGCAGAGCUCGGGAAAGCGGGGGUGGGUGUGCAAACCUUCCACGUGUGCGUGUGACACACUUACCCAGGGCUACACGUGCCGGGGUGUCCCUGGCGGC
Molecule: long non-coding RNA, 1409 nt
Filed under: Zonotrichia albicollis (white-throated sparrow)
Lineage: Eukaryota; Metazoa; Chordata; Aves; Passeriformes; Passerellidae
Description: lncRNA (ENSZALG00000003045.1)
Source: RNAcentral